AAGAGAACUGGCGAGACCGCGGCCAAAGUCCUCUCGAACUGGGCGUCAUAGAGGGUGAGAACCCCGUACGCGGCCGCGCGGACAAGCCCGUGUGGGGCCCUUUCGACGAGUCGAGUUGUUUGGGAAUGCAGCUCAAAUUUGGUGGUAAAUUCCAUCUAAAGCUAAAUACCUGCCGGAGACCGAUAGCGCACAAGUAGAGUGAUCGAAAGAUGAAAGCACUUUGAAAAGAGAGUUAAAAAGCACGUGAAAUUGUUGAAAGGGAAGCGCUUGCAACCAGACUCGCUCGCGGGUGCUUAGCUGCCCUCCGGGGCGGUGCACUCUCCCGCGAUCGGGCCAGCGUCGGUUCUGGCGGUCGGACAAAGGCCCAGGGAACGUAGCUCUCUUCGGGGAGUGUUAUAUCCCGGGGUGCAAUGCGGCCCGCCGGGACCGAGGACCGCGCUUUAGCUAGGACGCUGGCGUAAUGGUUGCCAGCGACCCGUCUUGAAACACGGACCAAGGAGUCGACCAACCGCGCGAGUGUUUGGGCGUCAAACCCACGCGCGCAAUGAAAGUGAACGGAGGUGGGAGCCUCAGGGCGCACCAUCGACCGAUCCUGAUGUCUUCGGAUGGAUUUGAGUACGAGCACGGUUGGUCGGACCCGAAAGAUGGUGAACUAUGCGCGAAUAGGGUGAAGCCAGAGGAAACUCUGGUGGAGGCUCGCAGCGGUUCUGACGUGCAAAUCGAUCGUCAAAUUUGCGUAUAGGGGCGAAAGACUUAUCGAACCAUCUAGUAGCUGGUUCCCGUCGAAGUUUCCCUCAGGAUAGCAGUAACGAAGAACAGUCUCAUGAGGUAGAGCGAACGAUUAGAGGUCUUGGGGCCGCAAUCGGCCUUAACCUAUUCUCGAACUUCGAAUAUGUGAGAAGUCCUUGUUGCUUAGUGAACGCGGACAUUCGGAUGUGUCGUUCAGGUC
This 949-nucleotide ribosomal RNA is filed under the name Leptotrema wightii. RNAcentral's name for it is "eukaryotic LSU rRNA". It matches the Rfam family "Eukaryotic large subunit ribosomal RNA", at positions 156 to 1128 of the family's 3401-position model. Lineage: Eukaryota; Fungi; Ascomycota; Lecanoromycetes; Ostropales; Graphidaceae. The record is from RNAcentral.